UUCCAUAAGAAAGUUUGGUCUAGAAGGAAUGAUUUUUCCUAUAAGAAAAAGACUUCGGCUCGGUGUGGUGGCUCACAUCUGUAAUCCCAGGAUUUGGGGAGGCUGAGGCAGGCUUAUCGCUUGAAACCAGGAAUAUGAAAUCUUCAGGCCAAACGAGACCCCUGUCUCUACAAAAAAUUUAAAAAUUAGCGGAGCACGCUGGUGUGUGCCUUGUAGUCCCAGCUAUUCAAGGAGGCUGGAAAAAACCUUGGUGCAGAGGAACAAAUCCACAGAGACCCUCGUUUGUACAGACUUGGGCUGGACCACUUCCCCCACGCUCUUACCUCCAGUGGAUGGAGUGUUGGCUACUUGGCCAUGCCUGCAACUCCUCUCUCCCCUGCAUGGCCUCUUGGGGAGCUGGGUGAGGGGGAUGAGUUUGGAAAAUAUCUCACCAAGGCCAGGUGUGGUGGCUCAUGCCUAUAAUCCCAGCAUUUUGGGAGGCCGAGGCAGGCGGAUUACUUGAGGCCAGGAGUUCGAGACCAGCCUGAUCAACAUGGUGAAACCCUGUCCCUACUGAAAAUACAAAAAUUAGCCAGGCAUGGUGGUGUGUGCCUAUAAUUUCAGCUACUCUGGAGGCUGAGGCGGGAGAAUCACUUGAACCGGGGAGGCAGA
RNAcentral lists this long non-coding RNA (651 nucleotides) under Homo sapiens (human). RNAcentral's name for it is "non-protein coding lnc-POU2F3-2:1". Lineage: Eukaryota; Metazoa; Chordata; Mammalia; Primates; Hominidae. The record is from RNAcentral.